Molecule: ribosomal RNA, 253 nt
Filed under: uncultured bacterium
Lineage: Bacteria
Description: partial 16S ribosomal RNA
Rfam family: Bacterial small subunit ribosomal RNA
Source: RNAcentral
UACGGGGGGGGCAAGCGUUGUUCGGAAUUACUGGGCGUAAAGGGCUCGUAGGCGGCCAACUAAGUCAGACGUGAAAUCCCCAGGCUCAACCUGGGAACUGCGUCUGAUACUGGAUGGCUUGAAUCCGGGAGAGGGAGGUAGAAUUCCACGUGUAGCGGUGAAAUGCGUAGAUAUGUGGAGGAAUACCGGUGGCGAAGGCGGCCUCCUGGUUCAAUACUGACGCUGAGGUGCGAAAGCGUGGGGAGCAAACAGG